AGGACGAACGCUGGCGGCGUGCUUAACACAUGCAAGUCGAGCGGAAAGGCCCUUCGGGGUACUCGAGCGGCGAACGGGUGAGUAACACGUGAGUAAUCUGCCCCUAGCUCUGGGAUAGCUCCGGGAAAACCGGGAUUAAUACCGGAUACGACCACUUUAGACAUCUGUUGUGGUGGAAAGAAUUUUUGGCUAGGGAUGAGCUCGCGGCCUAUCAGCUUGUUGGCGGGGUAAUGGCCCACAAGACGAUGAUCGGUA
RNAcentral lists this ribosomal RNA (255 nucleotides) under uncultured bacterium. RNAcentral describes it as "partial small subunit ribosomal RNA". It matches the Rfam family "Bacterial small subunit ribosomal RNA", at positions 26 to 285 of the family's 1533-position model. The record is from RNAcentral.